UACGUGGGGGGCAAGCGUUGUUCGGAAUUAUUGGGCGUAAAGGGCUCGUAGGCGGCCAACUAAGUCAGACGUGAAAUCCCCAGGCUCAACCUGGGAACUGCGUCUGAUACUGGAUGGCUUGAAUCCGGGAGAGGGAUGCAGAAUUCCAGGUGUAGCGGUGAAAUGCGUAGAUAUCUGGAGGAAUACCGGUGGCGAAGGCGGCAUCCUGGACCGGCAUUGACGCUGAGGAGCGAAAGCCAGGGGAGCAAACAGG
This 253-nucleotide ribosomal RNA is filed under the name uncultured bacterium. Its description in RNAcentral is "partial 16S ribosomal RNA". It matches the Rfam family "Bacterial small subunit ribosomal RNA", at positions 524 to 776 of the family's 1533-position model. The record is from RNAcentral.